Molecule: ribosomal RNA, 373 nt
Filed under: uncultured bacterium
Lineage: Bacteria
Description: bacterial SSU rRNA
Rfam family: Bacterial small subunit ribosomal RNA
Source: RNAcentral
GUAGUCCACGCCCUAAACGAUGCCUACUAGUUGUUGGGGAUUUACUUCCUCAGUAACGCAGCUAACGCGUGAAGUAGGCCGCCUGGGGAGUACGGUCGCAAGAUUAAAACUCAAAGGAAUUGACGGGGACCCGCACAAGCGGUGGAUGAUGUGGAUUAAUUCGAUGCAACGCGAAAAACCUUACCUACCCUUGACAUGCCACUAACGAAGCAGAGAUGCAUUAGGUGCUCGAAAGAGAAAGUGGACACAGGUGCUGCAUGGCUGUCGUCAGCUCGUGUCGUGAGAUGUUGGGUUAAGUCCCGCAACGAGCGCAACCCUUGUCUUUAGUUGCUACGAAAGGGCACUCUAGAGAGACUGCCGGUGACAAACCGGA